GGUCGCGUAGCGUAGUGGCAACGCUGCUUCCUGUCGAGGAGACGUCGCGGGUUCGAUUCCCGCCGCGACCGCCA
The sequence is a transfer RNA, 74 nucleotides long. It matches the Rfam family "tRNA". From Rfam's summary of the family: Transfer RNA (tRNA) molecules are approximately 80 nucleotides in length. Their secondary structure includes four short double-helical elements and three loops (D, anti-codon, and T loops).